Long non-coding RNA from Taeniopygia guttata (zebra finch), 1383 nucleotides. The record is from Ensembl. Lineage: Eukaryota; Metazoa; Chordata; Aves; Passeriformes; Estrildidae.
UUUUCUUUCUUUUUUUUUUUUUUUCUUUUUUUUUUUUUCCACAUUCCUUCUUUUCUGCUAGGAUUUUUCCAUGGCCUUAAUGUUAUCUCACACAAGCAAUCUUAGAAGCCCUGAUGUUUUCCUGUAUUCCAUCUUGCCCACUGUUCUAUAGUGCUUGCACUUGAAAUAUAGAUUAUCCAGGUUAACACUCUCCAUUUUUUGUGUCAAUCUUUCCAACCCAAAUCUGGAGAGAGUGACCUGUUAGGAAACUGACUCCAUGCUCUUGAGCCUGAACGUUUUAGCUCCCUGGAUUUUUUCAGCCAAGGGCACUGAGAGGUUCCCAGCCAAUGCUGGCGCACAAAAAGAAAAUCUGUCUGUAGACUCAUAGAAAAACUCUACUCAUAUUUUUUAUUCCAGUUUUGGGGACAACUCUACUAGUGGUCACACCAUGAAUGCUUUGUUAUUAUAUUAAUAGUGUAAUACAGAUAAUGUACUCCUGAGUAUAAAUCAGGCUUACAGUAUUUAUAGAUACAAAACCUUAAUAAACUCACCAGAACUCAAUUUUAACAGACACAGAUUUUCCGAAGUGUCACACUGGACAUUCAGGGCCUGUGUAUGGUCUUGUGAUGUCUUUUUGCAGAACUAGCUCAAAUAUUCUGUUUGCCAAAUAAUACCCUAAUGUGCAAAGAGUAGUUUAAUGGCUACACUGCAGUGGAACAGCACAAGUUCAUGCAUUUUAACUGCCUUUUAUUUAGGAAAUGGCACAACAUAAUGAAGUGUUUGGAUUCUGGCCAUGACUCCAGUCUCCUGUGUGGUUCUGUCCUCAAAACUCGGAUCAGACCUCAGAAACCCAUUUUCGUUUUCUACCUUUUACAAAGACUGUUUUAGGACAACAGGGCUUUCAGGAGCAAAUUUCCUGAUGUUUGUGGGUGCACAGGACACAGAGAAUUGCACAAGCACCACCAACAUAUUUCAUAAAAUUGCUGAUAAUUUACACAUAAUUGAAAAGAUACACUUUACCUUUCUCCUUUCUCUUUCAUACUUCUCACUCUAUGAUACAUUUUGCAUACGUAUGUCCUUUCAGUGUGGAUAUUUUGCAUUAUGCCUUGCUGCAGUUUCACAAAAUGAAAAGGCUUUGUCCCCACAUGGCAGACAGGUUGCUGCUUUUACAGGGUGCUCAGCUACAGCGACAAGUGUCAGGCAGUGCUCAUCACUUUUCUGGCUUUCUGUAUAGGAGACCUCUUGUCUGAAAGUCAGAUUCUUCUCUUGCCCUCUCCAAGUCUGAAGGGAGCAGAGAGGUUUUUUUUCUGAUGCUGAAACCUCCCUUCCCAGACACUGUAUGAUGAAAGUUGUGCACUUGAGUCUAGAGCACAAAAAAAAAAAAACAAAAACAAAAAACAAAAA